Molecule: ribosomal RNA, 253 nt
Filed under: uncultured bacterium
Lineage: Bacteria
Description: partial 16S ribosomal RNA
Rfam family: Bacterial small subunit ribosomal RNA
Source: RNAcentral
UACGGAGGGUGCAAGCGUUGUUCGGAAUUACUGGGCGUAAAGGGCGCGUAGGCGGUGUGUCAAGUCAGGCGUGAAAGCCCCGGGCUCAACCUGGGAACCGCGCUUGAGACUGGCACGCUCGAGUUCGGGAGAGGAUGGUGGAAUUCCCAGUGUAGAGGUGAAAUUCGUAGAUAUUGGGAAGAACACCGAUGGCGAAGGCAGCCAUCUGGACCGACACUGACGCUGAGGCGCGAAAGCGUGGGGAGCAAACAGG